CCUACGGGAGGCAGCAGUGAGGAAUAUUGGUCAAUGGUCGGGAGCCUGAACCAGCCAAGCCGCGUGAGGGAGGACGGUCCUGCGUAUCGUAAACCUCUUUUGUCAGGGAACAAAGGCGGGGACGUGUCCCCGGUUGAAUGUACCUGAAGAAAAAGCAUCGGCUAACUCCGUGCCAGCAGCCGCGGUAAUACGGAGGAUUCGAGCGUUAUCCGGAUUUAUUGGGUUUAAAGGGUGCGUAGGUGGGUUGUUAAGUCAGCGGUGAAAGUCCGGGGCUCAACCCCCGAACCGCCAUUGAAACUGGCAGUCUCGAGUUGAGGUGAGGUAGGCGGAAUGCGCGGUGUAGCGGUGAAAUGCAUAGAUAUCACGAAGAACUCCGAUUGCGAAGGCAGCAUGCCAGCUCCCCACUGACGCUGAGGCACGAAAGCGUGGGUAUCGAACAGGAUUAGAUACCCCAGUAGUC
Molecule: ribosomal RNA, 460 nt
Filed under: uncultured bacterium
Lineage: Bacteria
Description: partial 16S ribosomal RNA
Rfam family: Bacterial small subunit ribosomal RNA
Source: RNAcentral